RNAcentral lists this ribosomal RNA (158 nucleotides) under uncultured bacterium. RNAcentral describes it as "partial 16S ribosomal RNA". It matches the Rfam family "Bacterial small subunit ribosomal RNA", at positions 355 to 509 of the family's 1533-position model. The record is from RNAcentral.
UGGGGAAUAUUGCACAAUGGGCGCAAGCCUGAUGCAGCGACGCCGCGUGCGGGAUGGAGGCCUUCGGGUUGUAAACCGCUUUUGUUCAAGGGAAUAAAGUGAGAGUCGUGACUCUUUUUGCAUGUACCUUAUGAAUAAGGACCGGCUAAUUCCGUGCC